Molecule: long non-coding RNA, 251 nt
Filed under: Oryza brachyantha (malo sina)
Lineage: Eukaryota; Viridiplantae; Streptophyta; Magnoliopsida; Poales; Poaceae
Description: long non-coding RNA (OBRA_LNC003606)
Source: RNAcentral
AAAUUCCUUCAUUGAGGGGUACUUGGUGCCUUUAGCCAUACAAGGGUUAUUCUUGUCAUACAAUAUAACAAGUUCACCUGGGAUUGCAUCAUCAACAGGUAUGGCUGCACCCUCAGUGCCCUCAAUAAAUGCAUUACCACUUGUCUCAGCAGCCCCAUUUGAUUCAUCAACUUGUGCAGACUUCUUUGCCCUUUCAUCUUCAUUUGUUAAGCCUAGAAGCACAAAUAAUUGGUCAUCACUUAUGACCUGAA